UGUUUUGAGCUAGAACAGAAAUGCUGGUUUAAUUCCAAAGUUUACAUGCAGCAAUGCUGUGGGGUCAGUAAGCUCUGGAGAGGGGAAGGAUGGACCUUUAGAUGUAGAUCUCACUAAGUGAAAAACUAAGUGUUUGGAAGAGUUAAGUGGCCUGGUGUUCAGUGACACCAUCUAACAACAAACCUCUCUUAUUUUGAAGGAAGGAAGUAGCUGAAGACACUGGCUGCAUCUCUGUGUCUCUUGGAGGUCACUUGCUGAUUUAUCUCCAAUUCACAGCUCAUUAGAAAGUGUGUAACUCUUCAGAGAUGUUGUUAUUUAACAGGCAAAGAUAAAGCCUUGAAUGACAAUCAGCCAGCGGAGCCACAAAGGGCAGCUGUAGUUUUUGCUCCCUGCACAGGAGGGUGCUCAGCCUCUGUCUUUAUCUGCAGGAAGGAGCGAUUCCCGUGGUCAUCAGAACCAAGUGGAGAAGCUGUUUCCUGAACUGGGCUUUUCUUGUAGUGACACUGGAGGAUCUGUUAAAUCCAGUGACUCAUAAAUUAUUCAGCUGUUCAAGAAUUUCGGGAGGUGUGUGUUAAUUGCUGCUGUUAGACCAUUACCGAGGUAUUUAGGUCAGAAGAUGUAAUGAUCAUGACGUUGGUAUUCUCUAAUGGGUGUCCUUAAAGGUGCCAGAAUUUUCAAUAGGAUCUUUGAAGUUUCUCAGAAUUAGGGGUUUUUCCCCCUCUAAUUUGCUCAUCUGAACGUGUGAAUCCCCAUGUGAAUCGUUGAAUUGAACAGUGAAUUCUCAUGUGUGUAAACAUGAGUGGAUUUACCAGGAAGGAGUAGAUGAGUUUGUUAAUUUAUAUUCCAUUUGUAGUACCUGCUAGUAAUUAUAUCCUUAAUUAUUCAGUAUUUUCCUUGUUAAAUCACAGAAGAUCCUGAGUUGGAAGGGACCCACUGGGAUCAUCAAAGUCCCACUCUUGGCCCUGCACAGGACAGCCCUAGCAAUCCC
Molecule: non-coding RNA, 988 nt
Organism: Sturnus vulgaris (Common starling)
Lineage: Eukaryota; Metazoa; Chordata; Aves; Passeriformes; Sturnidae
Source: RefSeq, a predicted model, not a curated record